UACGGAGGGGGCUAGCGUUGUUCGGAAUUACUGGGCGUAAAGCGCGCGUAGGCGGCUUUGUAAGUUAGAGGUGAAAGCCCGGAGCUUAACUCCGGAACUGCCUUUAAGACUGCAUCGCUAGAAUCGUGGAGAGGUGAGUGGAAUUCCGAGUGUAGAGGUGAAAUUCGUAGAUAUUCGGAAGAACACCAGUGGCGAAGGCGACUUACUGGACGACUGUUGACGCUGAGGUGCGAAAGCGUGGGGAGCAAACAGG
This 253-nucleotide ribosomal RNA is filed under the name uncultured bacterium. RNAcentral describes it as "partial 16S ribosomal RNA". It matches the Rfam family "Bacterial small subunit ribosomal RNA", at positions 524 to 776 of the family's 1533-position model. The record is from RNAcentral.